Molecule: non-coding RNA, 5078 nt
Organism: Oryctolagus cuniculus (rabbit)
Lineage: Eukaryota; Metazoa; Chordata; Mammalia; Lagomorpha; Leporidae
Source: RefSeq, a predicted model, not a curated record
CGGUGGCCUCGGCGCAGCCCUGAGGCUCCGCGCUGGGGCUCGGGACGCCCGCGGCGCUGGGCCCGGCUGGGGCCGGGGGCUGGGUGCGGAGCAGUCCGCGCUGGCGGCGGCCGCCUCGGCGCCGAGCCAUGGGGAGCCCCCGGGCCGCGCUGCUGCUGCUCCUGCGCCCGGCCAAGCUGCUGCGGAGGCGCUUCCGGCUGCUGCUGGCGCUCGCCCUGGUGUCCGUGGGGCUCUGGACUCUGUAUCUGGAACUGGUGGCGUCGGCGCAGGUCGGCGGGAACCCCUUGAACCGGAGGUAUGGCAGCUGGAGAGAACUGGCCAAGGCACUGGCCAGCAGGAAUAUCCCGGCUGUGGACCCACAUCUCCAGUUCUACCGUCCCCAGAGGCUGAACCUCAAGGACCAAGAAGUCGACCGAGAUGGAAGCAGCAACAGGAGCUACUUGAAGUGGAACAAGCCUGUUCCCUGGCUCUCAGAGUUCCGGGGUCGGGCCAACCUGCACGUGUUCGAGGACUGGUGUGGCAGCUCCAUCCAGCAGCUCAGGAGGAACCUGCACUUCCCACUGUACCCCCACAUCCGCACGACCCUGAGGAAGCUGGCUGUGUCCCCCAAAUGGACCAACUACGGCCUCCGCAUCUUUGGCUACCUGCACCCCUUCACUGACGGGACAGUCCAGUUUGCCAUCGCUGCAGACGACAACGCCGAGUUCUGGCUGAGCCAUGACGACCAGGUUACAGGCCUUCAGCUGCUGGCCAGUGUGGGCAAGACUGGAAAGGAGUGGACCGCCCCUGGAGAGUUUGGGAAAUUUCGGAGUCAAAUUUCCAAGCCGGUGAGCCUGUCAGCCUCACACAGGUACUACUUUGAGGUACUGCACAAGCAGAAUGACCAGGGUACUGACCACGUGGAGGUUGCGUGGCGGAGGAGCGACCCCGGGGCCAAGUUCACCAUCAUUGACUCCCCUUCCCUGUCCCUCUUCACAAAUGAGACGGUCCUCAAGAUGGAUGAGGUGGGCCACAUCCCACAGACAGCAGCCAGCCACGCAGGCUCAGCCGACUCCCACCCCCGAGACGAGCAGCCCCCCGCUGACAUGCUGCGGCCCGACCCCCGCGACACCCUCUAUCAAGUGCCUCUGAUCCCCAAGUCUCACCUCCGCCACGUGCUGCCUGAUUGUCCCUACAAACCCAGCUACCUGGUGGAUGGGCUCCCCCUGCAGCGAUACCAGGGACUCCGGUUUGUGCACCUGUCCUUUGUGUACCCCAAUGACUACACUCGCCUGAGCCACAUGGAGACCCACAACAAAUGCUUCUAUCAGGAAAACGCCUACUACCAGGACAGGUUCAGCUUUCAGGACUACAUCAAGAUCGACCAGCCUGAGAAGCAGGGACUGGAGCGGCCAGGUGAAGAAGCUGGAUUGAUGGAGGCUGAGUUUGCCCAAGGUUUGGAGGAGGACCUUCUAGAAGAAUCCCAGUAUGAAGACGUGGCAGAGGAGACCCCUGCCUCCAAUGCUCGGCAUACCGCGAUGCCAGAGGGCAAAGAGACACCUGCCGCCAGCCCCGAGCAGGAGGCCACGGACUACCGGCUCCGGAGCCUGCGGAAGCUCCUGGGCCAGCCCCAAGCCGGCCUGCUGGCUCCCUUCUCCAAGCGGAACUCCACGCCCUUCCUGGGGAGGCCUGGGGACCUCCGGGCCCAACUACCCCAGGAGAGGAAGAGGAGACCCCGCCCCGCGCCUAGCCCCGGCUCGCCUCCCGCGGACAGGUGGCCCCCGGGGCACAUGGCACGGAGCCUGCCUCAGAGGAAGAGGCCCAGGCCCACCGCGGCCAGCCCCGGGAAGAUGCUCGGGCAGGCCCAGUGGCUGAGUCAGGUGGAGUCGUACAUUGCAGAGCAGAGGCGGGGUGACGGGGCAGAGCCGCAGGCCCCCGGGCCGGCUUGGCGCGGGGAGGAGCCGGUGGUGGCCGCUGCUGGCUUGGAAGAGCAGACCGAGGCGGAGGAAGAGGGGGAAGCGGAGGAGGAGGAGGAAGAGGAGAUGAGUGAGGUGUUUGAAUACGUGCCGGUGUUUGACCCGGUGGUCAACUGGGACCAGACCUUCAGUGCCCGCAACCUUGACUUCCAAGCCCUGAGGACCGACUGGAUCGACCUGAACUGUAACACAUCCGGCAACCUGCUGCUCCCGGAGCCCGAGGCGCUCGAGGUGGCGCGCGUCUUCCUGAAGCGGCUCAACCAGCGGAGCCGGGGGAGGUACCAGCUGCAGCGCAUCGUGAAUGUGGAGAAGCGACAGGACCAGCUCCGGGGGGGCCGCUACCUCCUGGAGCUGGAACUGCUGGAACAAGGCGGGCGCCUGGUGCGGCUCUCAGAGUAUGUGUCUGCACGAGGCUGGCAGGGCGUCGACCCAGUCGGUGGGGAGGAAGCCGAGGCCCGGAACCUGCAGGGCCUGAUCUGGAGCCCACACAACCGUCAGGGACGGGUCCUGAACGUCCGUGCCCCGGAGCCCAAGCUGUGCUGGCCCCAGGGUUUCUCCUGGAAUCACCGUGCGGUGGUCCACUUCAUCGUGCCUGUGAAGAACCAGGCACGCUGGGUGCAGCAGUUCAUUAAAGACAUGGAGACACUGCUGCAGACCACCGGCGACCCGCACUUCAACGUCGUCAUCACUGACUACAGCAGUGAGGACAUGGAUGUCGAGAUGGCCCUGCAGAGGUCCAAACUGCGCAGCUACCAGUACAUGAAGCUAACUGGAAACUUUGAGCGCUCAGCUGGACUUCAGGCUGGCAUUGACCUGGUGAAGGACCCUCACAGCAUCGUCUUCCUCUGUGACCUCCACAUCCACUUCCCAGCUGGAGUCAUCGAUGCCAUCCGGAAGCACUGCGUGGAGGGCAAGAUGGCCUUUGCUCCCAUGGUGAUGAGGCUGCACUGCGGCGCCACGCCCCAGUGGCCUGAGGGCUACUGGGAAGUGAACGGAUUUGGACUGCUUGGCAUCUACAAGUCCGACCUGGACAAGAUCGGGGGCAUGAACACCAAGGAGUUCCGGGACCGCUGGGGCGGGGAAGACUGGGAGCUGCUGGACAGGUCCCUGCUGUGUUCACAGAGGGUUCCUUGAGGCCCUGACAGCCAGGAACCCCGUCUGAUGCGCUCCGAAGGCUGUGAUGAAGACGUUGAUGACGACGCAUCUCUGCUAUGGCCUGAGAAAGCAGUAGAAGAUGGCCCGAGUCCUUGGGCCCCUGUGCCCACGUGGGAGACCUGGGGGAAGCUCCUGACUCCUGGCUUCGCAUUGGCCCAGCUCCGGCUGUCGCCCCCAUUUGGGGAGUGAACAGAGGGUGGAAGACCUCUCUGUCUCUCCCUCUCACUGUCUGUAACUCUACCUGUCAAAUAUAAAAUAAAAAUAUUUUAGGCCGGCGCCACGGCUCACUAGGCUAAUCCUCCGCCUGUGGCGCUGGCACCCCGGGUUCUAGUCCCGGUUGGGGCACUGGAUUCUGUCCUGGUUGCUCCUCUGCCAGGCUAGCUCUCUGCUGUGGCCCGGGAAGGCAGUGGAGGAUGGCCCAAGUGCUUGGGCCCUGCACCCACAUGGCAGACCAGGAGGAAGCACCUGGCUCCUGGCUUCGGAUCGGCACAGCGCACCAGCCACAACACGCCGGCCGUAGCGGCCACUUGGGGGGUGAACCAACGGAAGGAAGACCUUUCUCUCUGUCUGUCUCUCUCACUGUCUAACUCUGCCUAUCAAAAAAUAAAUAAAUAAAUAAAAAUUUUUUAAAUAAAAGAAUGGAAGGAGGAUUUUGGAAGAUGUUUUAGCCUGAUGGUAGGGAGGCUGAGCCAAAAGAUCACAAUAGGAUAGAUAUCUGUUGAGUGGAUGGUUAAAUGGAUGAUGGAUUGGUGGAUGGGGAAUGGAGGGAUGGAUAGAUGGGUGGAUGGAGGGAUGGAUGGAUGGACAGGCAGACAGGUGAUGGAUGGUUGGACAGACAGGAAGAUGGAUGGAUGGAUGGAUGGAUGGACUAGUGCAUAAAUGGAUGGGGUGGGAGGAUGGGUUGGUAGAUGGGCAGAUAUCAGAGGGUCUGGAUACUUCUUGUACUCAGUGUGACCCCAGCAUGCCACUUCACUUGGAUAAUUACACAGAGGCCAGCCGAGAGUGGAGAGAAGCCUAUCUGGAUAGCACCUUUGGACUCCAAAGAUCCUUAAGAUGUCUUGAAAUGCAGUUGUUGCCAAAAUUUCUUGUUAGUAUAAUCCCAGCAUUAAAAACCAUCUUUGGUAAUGCAUUCAUACUACUUGAGGGUACUUCAAAAGGAUUGUGGGAAAAUAUAAUUAAAAUACAAGUUUAUUUUGGGGUAAAAAUUUUGGAAAUCUAUUGUGGUGGAAUGAGAAGGUGAGAAGGUCAUGCCAAGAUGGCCGCUAACAACAGAAACUGCAUGGCAACAGGCCAUGAUUGGAUGGUUUCGGAAACUGCCUGGCAACAGAGCCUGACUGGCAACAGGCUGUGAUUGGAUGGCUUUGGAAACUGCCUGGCAACAGUCUGUGACUGGUUAGGGCAUAGACCACCCCUUGACCAGAUUGGCUGCCUUGGCUAUAUAAGCAGCUGCAGCAACUGAAAUAAACGAGUCUGCGGGCUGCUUGCCUCAAGCCUGCUUUCACCCGACUCCCGGGGUCUGUGUGGUGACUCCACGCCUCUUGCCCCCACCACGCUCUUCCUCUCAGGAACAAAUCCACAGUAACAUCCUAUGAGGAGUUUUUUUUACAAAAAUUGAUUUUCCAUGAACUUUUUGAAGACCUUUCAUCUGUACAUCCUUUCAUUACACAUCAGGGAAGUAAAGCCUCCACCUGUGCCCAUCCCAUAGGGGCACUGGUUCAAGUCCUGGCUGCUCCACUUCCGAUCCAGCUCCCUGCUGAUGUACUUGGGAAAGCACAGGUGCUUGGGCUUCUGCACCCAUGUGGGAGACCUAGAAGAAGCCCUGGCUCCUGGCUUCGGCCUGGCCCAGCCCCAGCCGUAGUGGCCAUUUGGGGAGUGAACCAGCAGAUGGAAGAUCUGUCUCUCUCUGUUUUCUCCUCUCUCUGUGUAACUCUGACUUUCAAAUAAAUAAAUAAAUAUUUUAAAAAAUCA